This 497-nucleotide ribosomal RNA is filed under the name uncultured bacterium. RNAcentral's name for it is "partial 16S ribosomal RNA". It matches the Rfam family "Bacterial small subunit ribosomal RNA", at positions 28 to 507 of the family's 1533-position model. The record is from RNAcentral.
GAUGAACGCUGGCGGCGUGCCUAAUACAUGCAAGUCGAGCGAACGGACGAGAAGCUUGCUUCUCUGAUGUUAGCGGCGGACGGGUGAGUAACACGUGGAUAACCUACCUAUAAGACUGGGAUAACUUCGGGAAACCGGGGCUAAUACCGGAUAAUAUUUUGAACCGCAUGGUUCAAAAGUGAAAGACGGUCUUGCUGUCACUUAUAGAUGGAUCCGCGCUGCAUUAGCUAGUUGGUAAGGUAACGGCUUACCAAGGCAACGAUGCAUAGCCGACCUGAGAGGGUGACCGGCCACACUGGAACUGAGACCCGGUCCAGACUCCUACGGGAGGCAGCAGUAGGGAAUCUUCCGCAAUGGGCGAAAGCCUGACGGAGCAACGCCGCGUGAGUGAUGAAGGUCUUCGGAUCGUAAAACUCUGUUAUUAGGGAAGAACAUAUGUGUAAGUAACUGUGCACAUCUUGACGGUACCUAAUCAGAAAGCCACGGCUAACUACGUG